This is a long non-coding RNA of Populus euphratica (Euphrates poplar), 163 nucleotides long. RefSeq lists it as uncharacterized. NCBI's taxonomy places the organism in Eukaryota, Viridiplantae, Streptophyta, Magnoliopsida, Malpighiales, Salicaceae. The record is from RefSeq and is a predicted model, not a curated record. The transcript is spliced from 3 exons.
AUUUUUUUGUACUGUCUGGUUUGAACCGAUUGAAUUGAGAAGAUCUGAAUUGCAUCGGGUUUGCCUGGUGAUACCUUAGGUAUGUACGCAAAAAGACCGAGUAUGUUUUUCCUCGUAUAAAAAUUAUAGAAAUUCUGACAUGGAAAUGAUACCAUACUUUCUC